UGGGGAAUUUUGGACAAUGGGCGCAAGCCUGAUCCAGCCAUGCCGCGUGCAGGAUGAAGGCCCUCGGGUUGUAAACUGCUUUUGUACGGAACGAAAAGCCUCUUUCUAAUAAAGAGGGGUGAUGACGGUACCGUAAGAAUAAGCACCGGCUAACUACGUGCCAGCAGCCGCGGUAAUACGUAGGGUGCGAGCGUUAAUCGGAAUUACUGGGCGUAAAGCGUGCGCAGGCGGUCUUGCAAGACAGUGGUGAAAUCCCCGGGCUCAACCUGGGAACUGCCAUUGUGACUGCAAGGCUGGAGUACGGCAGAGGGGGAUGGAAUUCCAGGUGUAGUGGUGAAAUACGUAGAUAUCUGGAAGAACACCUGUUGCGAAGGCGGUCUCUUGGUCCGACACUGACGCUGAGGCGCGAAAGCGUGGGGAACAUACA
RNAcentral lists this ribosomal RNA (427 nucleotides) under uncultured bacterium. RNAcentral describes it as "bacterial SSU rRNA". It matches the Rfam family "Bacterial small subunit ribosomal RNA", at positions 355 to 774 of the family's 1533-position model. The record is from RNAcentral.